CAAAAUAUAUUUCUUGAGCGUGUUUUCAAAUGAUCAACACCACAUACGCUAAUACAUUCAUAUGCUAAUACAUAUCCACAAAUUGUAUUCACAUCACAUAUGCUAAUACAUUCAUACUAUAGAGUCCAACACAUACUAAGAUCUCAUACAUGAUAUUAGAUCAAAUUGAAAUAUACAAAGUUUGUAUUCAUCCGAGGUCACAUGAAAAAGUUUGUAUUCAACUACAAAAUAUAAGAUCUCAUUAACAAC
RNAcentral lists this long non-coding RNA (249 nucleotides) under Setaria viridis. Its description in RNAcentral is "long non-coding RNA (SVIR_LNC006846)". Lineage: Eukaryota; Viridiplantae; Streptophyta; Magnoliopsida; Poales; Poaceae. The record is from RNAcentral.